Gadus macrocephalus (Pacific cod) is the source of this 239-nucleotide long non-coding RNA. RefSeq lists it as uncharacterized. Lineage: Eukaryota; Metazoa; Chordata; Actinopteri; Gadiformes; Gadidae. The transcript is spliced from 2 exons. The record is from RefSeq and is a predicted model, not a curated record.
AAUACUUGGUUAACUUACAAUGACUAACUUACAAUGACUAUCCUCCUAAAUUAAAUUAGUUAGAUGGAAAGAUUUUUGUCUAUGGAAUGAUCCUGUCACUUUACUGCCACACAUUGUGUGUGUCAGUAAAGUGAUGAGGUAGGAGAAUCCGUGUAUGGAUUGUUUUUUGGUUUUUCAGAUUUGGUUUUGAAACUGAAAAAGGGCAAAAGGAAUAAACAAAUAAACGGCAUUUGAUUUUG